Molecule: long non-coding RNA, 209 nt
Organism: Solanum dulcamara
Lineage: Eukaryota; Viridiplantae; Streptophyta; Magnoliopsida; Solanales; Solanaceae
Exons: 3
Source: RefSeq, a predicted model, not a curated record
AACGAAGCGACAAGGUAAAACAGUAAGCUGUCCAGAUUUCACAUUUUGGAUAGUUUUGGCGAGUUUGACAAGUUUAACGUAAGGUUCGGAAGACGACGAGACGAGCAGGAUAAAGGGUAACUCCUAAAAGGUACAGAUACAGAUUUUGGGAGUCCGUCAGCUUAGGAUUCCAUGCAGCUCAGCUGGAAGAGGCUUCAUUGUAUCGGAGC